AUUAAAUAAAACAUGAGAAGGGCAUAUAGUGAAUGCCUUGGCGAUAAGAGGCGAUGAAGGACGUGUUACACUGCGAUAAGCUUCGGGGAGUUGUGAAAAAACUUUGAUCCGAAGAUUUCCGAAUGGGGAAACCCACUUCUUGAGUUCAUUACACAGCAUCCGAGCGAUCGGGUGUUGGAUUGUGAACUCUUUCAUAGAAGUAUAAAUACCUGAAUACAUAGGGUAUUUAAGCAAACCCGGUGAAUUGAAAUAUCUCAGUAGCCGGAGGAAAGGACAUCAAAAGAGACUCCGCUAGUAGUGACGAGCGAACGCGGACUAGGCCAGUAAUCAUCGUGAAAUAAUCAGAACCUUCUGGAAAGUUGGACCAUAGUGGGUGACAGUCCCGUAUGAGUAAACCAGCGAUGAUUCUUGAGUAAGGCGGGACACGUGAAAUCCUGUCUGAACAUGGGGCGACCACGCUCCAAGCCUAAGUACUCCUUAUCGACCGAUAGUGAACUAGUACAGUGAUGGAAAGGUGAAAAGCACCCCGACGAGGGGAGUGAAAGAGUACCUGAAACUGUAUGCCUACAAGCAGUCGGAGCGGAUUUAUCCGUGACGGCGUACCUCUUGUAUAAUGGGCGAGCGACUUAGUGUGUGCAGCAAGGUUAAGCCGUUAGGUGAAGCCGUAGCGAAAGCAAGUCUGAAUAGGGCGACAAGUUGCACGUAUUAGACCCGAAACGAGGUGAUCUAGCCAUGGCCAGGUUGAAGGUUGGGUAACACCAGCUGGAGGACCGAACCGACUCCCGUUGAAAAGGUAGCGGAUGAGCUGUGGUUAGGGGUGAAAGGCCAAUCAAACUUCGUAAUAGCUGGUUCUCCGCGAAAACUAUUUAGGUAGUGCCUCGGACGAAUACCUUGGGGGGUAGAGCACUGGAUGGACUAGGGGGGCCCAAAGCCUUACCAAAUCUAACCAAACUCCGAAUACCCAAGAGUACUAUCCGGGAGACAGACUGCGACAGCUAACUGCCGUAGUCGAGAGGGAAACAACCCAGAUCUACAGCUAAGGUCCCCAAAUCAAGAUUAAGUUGGGAAGCAUGUGAGACGGCCAUAACAACCAGGAGGUUGGCUUAGAAGCAGCCAUCCUUUAAAGAAAGCGUAAUAGCUCACUGGUCUAAAUAAGCUAUCUUGCGGCGAAAAUGUACCGGGGAUUAAAUCUUGUACCGAAGCUUAGGGCUCAGUAAUGAGCGGUAGCGGAGCGUUCCGUAAGCCAGUGAAGCAGCAUGGUGAUGUGCUGUGGAGGUAUCGGAAGUGCGAAUGCUCGCAUGAGUAGCGACAAACAGAGUGAGAAACUCUGUCGCCGAAAUCCCAAGGGUUCCUGCGUUAUGUUAAUCAGAGCAGGGUUAGCCGGCACCUAAGGCGAGGCCGAAAGGCGUAGUCGAUGGAAAACAGGUUAAUAUUCCUGUGCCAGUGGAGUGUGACGCAUCCCGUGUAUUGUCUGCCCUUAUUGGAUUGGGUGGGCAGUGAAGGGGUGCCAGGAAAUAGCACCACAUCAGACCGUACCCUAAACCGACACAGGUGGGAUGGUAGAGUAUACCAAGGCGCUUGAGAGAAUGAUGCUGAAGGAACUAGGCAAAUUGCACGCGUAACUUCGGGAUAAGCGUGGCCCCACUAUAGGCAACUACUGUGGGGCGGCACAAGCCAGGGGGUGGCGACUGUUUAUUUAAAACACAGGGCUCUGCGAAGGCUCCCAAGCCGACGUAUAGGGUCUGACGCCUGCCCGGUGCUGGAAGGUUAAGACGAGGUGUGAAAGCACUGAAUUGAAGCCCCAGUAAACGGCGGCCGUAACUAUAACGGUCCUAAGGUAGCGAAAUUCCUUGUCGGGUAAGUUCCGACCCGCAUGAAUGGCGUAACGAUCUCCCCACUGUCUCCAGCAUCAACUCAGCGAAAUUGAAUUCUCCGUGAAGAUGCGGAGUACCCGUGGUUAGACGGAAAGACCCCGUGCACCUUUACUGCAAUUUUACAUUGGUAUUAGGCGUCGUUUGUGUAGGAUAGGUGGGAGACAUUGAAGUCCAGGCGCCAGCUUGGAUGGAGUCAACCUUGAAAUACCACCCUGACGUUGCUUGAUAUCUAACCGACUCCAGUCAUCCUGGAGCGGGACCAUGUAUGAUGGGCAGUUUGACUGGGGCGGUCGCCUCCCAAAGUGUAACGGAGGCGCGCGAAGGUAAGCUCAGGACGGUCGGAAAUCGUCCUUUAGAGUGUAAGGGCAUAAGCUUGCCUGACUGUGACAGUGACAGCUGAAACAGAUACGAAAGUAGGUCCUAGUGAUCCGGUGGUUCCAAGUGGAAGGGCCAUCGCUCAACGGAUAAAAGGUACGCCGGGGAUAACAGGCUGAUCUUGCCCAAGAGUCCAUAUCGACGGCAAGGUUUGGCACCUCGAUGUCGGCUCAUCACAUCCUGGGGCUGGAGAAGGUCCCAAGGGUAUGGCUGUUCGCCAUUUAAAGUGGUACGUGAGCUGGGUUUAGAACGUCGUGAGACAGUUCGGUCCCUAUCUGCCAUGGGUGUAGGAAACUUGAGAGGAUCUGACCUUAGUACGAGAGGACCGGGUUGGACGUACCUCUGGUGCACCAGUCGUUCUGCCAAGAGCGCAGCUGGGUAGCUAUGUACGGAAUGGAUAAACGCUGAAAGCAUCUAAGCGUGAAACCAGCCUUGAAACUAGGUUUCCCUAUGAGAGCCGUGAUAGACCAUCACGUUGAUAGGCCAGGUGUGGAAGUGCGGUAACGCAUGCAGCUAACUGGUACUAAUUGCUCCAUUGGUUUUAUUUAAU
RNAcentral lists this ribosomal RNA (2799 nucleotides) under Azospirillum brasilense. RNAcentral's name for it is "bacterial LSU rRNA". It matches the Rfam family "Bacterial large subunit ribosomal RNA". Lineage: Bacteria; Pseudomonadati; Pseudomonadota; Alphaproteobacteria; Rhodospirillales; Azospirillaceae. The record is from RNAcentral.